Tribolium madens (black flour beetle) is the source of this 870-nucleotide long non-coding RNA. RefSeq lists it as uncharacterized. NCBI's taxonomy places the organism in Eukaryota, Metazoa, Arthropoda, Insecta, Coleoptera, Tenebrionidae. The transcript is spliced from 6 exons. The record is from RefSeq and is a predicted model, not a curated record.
UCAUAUAAUCGAGAUAAACAGCGAAGCGUUACUAGAAGUUAAAGUGUGAUAACUCGGUAAAAUGGACCGUUUUAGACUGUUGUUAUGGUGGUGUCUCUUUUAUUUGCCACUCGAUCUACAAUGUACUGUUAGUGCUCAAAAAAAUAAUACCCCAUCAUUAACACAAAGUGGCGUUGCCUUAUCAUUAAAUGAUGACCUGACCUCGACACCUUGGCACCAGCUGUUCUGACAGGAUUAUUUCAAAGUGAUCAAAACGCACGUUUGUCUCAGUAUCAAGAAAACCAUAAACCCAUGUUCAAAGAGUGUCAGAAGUACAAUCCUGUUGUAAAAGAAGAACAUUUGUUAUAAGAGUUCAAGCUGUUGAUGAAGAUCCUCCAGAUAGAGAAGGUGGACGAAUCACGUACACUAUUGAAGAACCACCAGGGACUCGACCUUUUUUUAGAAUAAAUAGCACAACAGGAGAAAUAACGACUGCAAUACCGUUCGACAGAGACGAACCWAGUAGACAAAAAGAAAUUUAUUUAACAGUUCGUGCUGAAGAUGAUGGGCGACCUGAAUUGGCUGAUAGAUGCACAAUUAAAGUCACAGUAAAAGAUAUUAAUGAUAAUUCACCAAGUUUUGAUCAACACGAUUACUCCAGCAAUCUUUCUGAAGAUCUUCCCGAAAAUAGUGACGUUUUAAGGGUGGUUGCUUAUGACUUGGACACACUUGAAAAUGCCAAAUUGACAUACAGAUUUAUCAAUACUAGAAAUAACCAUUUUAAGGAUUAUUUUAGAAUUGAUCCUAACACUGGUGUCAUUUAUUUAAAAAAGCAAUUACUUGGGAAACAGGGCAAAAGAUUUACGUCAACCGUUAAGGUUUCAGAUAAUG